Molecule: long non-coding RNA, 142 nt
Organism: Malaclemys terrapin pileata
Lineage: Eukaryota; Metazoa; Chordata; Testudines; Emydidae
Exons: 3
Source: RefSeq, a predicted model, not a curated record
CUGGACCAUGCCGUUAUCACCACGUCCCCUGAGCAUCCCGACGCUGGGCCUCUGGCUUCUCUGCUCCCUUGUCUCGAGCCAGGAAAUCUGCAGCUCUCCCGGCACUCUCCCCGCCCCGCGGCUGUUUCUGGACAGGCUGUCU